RNAcentral lists this ribosomal RNA (406 nucleotides) under uncultured bacterium. RNAcentral describes it as "partial 16S ribosomal RNA". It matches the Rfam family "Bacterial small subunit ribosomal RNA", at positions 29 to 526 of the family's 1533-position model. The record is from RNAcentral.
AUCGAACGCUGGCGGCAGGCCUAACACAUGCAAGUCGAACGAGUGGCGGACGGGUGAGUAAUGUCUGGGAAACUGCCCGAUGGAGGGGGAUAACUACUGGAAACGGUAGCUAAUACCGCAUACCAUCGGAUGUGCCCAGAUGGGAUUAGCUAGUAGGUGGGGUAAUGGCGCACCUAGGCGACGAUCCCUAGCUGGUCUGAGAGGGUGACCGGCCACACUGGAACGGAGACACGGCCCAGACUCCAACGGGGGGCAGCAGUGGGAAAUAUUGGACAAUGGGCGAAGGCCUGAUGCAGCCAUGCCGCGUGUUUGAAGAAGGCCUUGGGGUUGUAAAGUACUUUCAUCGAGGAGGCGUUACUCGCAGAGGAAGCACCGGCUAACUCCGUGCCAGCCGCCGCGGUAAUAC